This 460-nucleotide ribosomal RNA is filed under the name uncultured bacterium. RNAcentral's name for it is "partial 16S ribosomal RNA". It matches the Rfam family "Bacterial small subunit ribosomal RNA", at positions 338 to 795 of the family's 1533-position model. The record is from RNAcentral.
CCUACGGGGUGCAGCAGUGAGGAAUAUUGGUCAAUGGGCGGAAGCCUGAACCAGCCAAGUCGCGUGAGGGAAUAAGGCCCUACGGGUCGUAAACCUCUUUUGCCGGGGAGCAAGGGCCGGGACGCGUCCCGGCCCGGAGAGUACCCGGAGAAAACGCAUCGGCUAACUCCGUGCCAGCAGCCGCGGUAAUACGGAGGAUGCGAGCGUUAUCCGGAUUUACUGGGUUAAAGGGGUGCGUAGGCGGAAUAUCAAGGCAGCGGUAAAAAUUCGGGGCUCAACCCCGUCGUGCCGUUGAAAAUGAUGUUCUUGAGUGGGCGAGAAGUAUGCGGAAUGCGUGGUGUAGCGGUGAAAUGCAUAGAUAUCACGCAGAACUCCGAUUGCGAAGGCAGCAUACCGGCGCCCAACUGACGCUGAAGCACGAAAGCGUGGGUAUCGAACAGGAUUAGAUACCCGAGUAGUC